RNAcentral lists this ribosomal RNA (478 nucleotides) under uncultured bacterium. Its description in RNAcentral is "partial 16S ribosomal RNA". It matches the Rfam family "Bacterial small subunit ribosomal RNA", at positions 28 to 507 of the family's 1533-position model. The record is from RNAcentral.
GAUGAACGCUGGCGGCGUGCUUAACACAUGCAAGUCGAACGAGAAGUGAAGACGGAAACCUUCGGGCGGAAGGCUUUAUUUCGAGUGGCGGACGGGUGAGUAAAGCGUGGGUAACCUGCCUCAUACAGGGGGGUAAAAGUUGGAAACGACUGUUAAUACCGCAUAAGACCACAGCACCGCAUGGUGCGGGGGUAAAAAGUCAGGUGGUAUGAGAUGGAUUCGCGUUCGAUUGGCCAGUUGGCGGGGUAACGGCCCACCAAAGCGACGAUCGAUAGCCGGUCUGAGAGGAUGACCGGCCACAUUGGGACUGAGACACGGCCCAGACUCCUGCAGGAGGCAGCAGUGGGGAAUAUUGCACAAUGGGGGAAACCCUGAUGCAGCGACGCCGCGUGAGUGAAGAAGUAUUGCGGUAUGUAAAGCUCUAUCAGCAGGGAAGAAAAUGACGGUACCUGGGUAAGAAGCCCCGGCUAACUACGUG